This 253-nucleotide ribosomal RNA is filed under the name uncultured bacterium. Its description in RNAcentral is "partial 16S ribosomal RNA". It matches the Rfam family "Bacterial small subunit ribosomal RNA", at positions 524 to 776 of the family's 1533-position model. The record is from RNAcentral.
UACGUAGGGUCCGAGCGUUGUCCGGAAUUACUGGGCGUAAAGAGCUCGUAGGUGGUUUGUCGCGUUGUUCGUGAAAACUCACAGCUUAACUGUGGGCGUGCGGGCGAUACGGGCAGACUAGAGUACUGCAGGGGAGACUGGAAUUCCUGGUGUAGCGGUGGAAUGCGCAGAUAUCAGGAGGAACACCGGUGGCGAAGGCGGGUCUCUGGGCCACUACUGACGCUGAGAAGCGAAAGCAUGGGGAGCGAACAGG